RNAcentral lists this transfer RNA (85 nucleotides) under Felis catus (domestic cat). It matches the Rfam family "tRNA". Rfam says of the family: Transfer RNA (tRNA) molecules are approximately 80 nucleotides in length. Their secondary structure includes four short double-helical elements and three loops (D, anti-codon, and T loops). Further hydrogen bonds mediate the characteristic L-shaped molecular structure. tRNAs have two regions of fundamental functional importance: the anti-codon, which is responsible for specific mRNA codon recognition, and the 3' end, to which the tRNAs corresponding amino acid is attached (by aminoacyl-tRNA synthetases). tRNAs cope with the degeneracy of the genetic code in two manners: having more than one tRNA (with a specific anti-codon) for a particular amino acid; and 'wobble' base-pairing, i.e. permitting non-standard base-pairing at the 3rd anti-codon position. The record is from Rfam by way of RNAcentral. RNAcentral also lists the same sequence under 2 other names. Lineage: Eukaryota; Metazoa; Chordata; Mammalia; Carnivora; Felidae.
GCCUGGGUGGCUCAGUCAGUUGAGCAUCCGACUUCGGCUCAGGUCAUGAUCUCGCAGUUUGUGGGUUCGAGCCCCGCGUCGGGCC